UAAAAUAUUUUUUCAAAAAAUAAGUCGAUUUUUUAUGUUUUCCUCCGAUUUUUUUCAUAAUUUUUUCAUUCAAAAUUUUCCAAUUCCAAAAUUGGUUUGACAGUUCAUUGUCCCAGCAGCCUUGUCGAUGCGACUAUCUGUAUUCUUCCACCAUGAUCAGAACCCUCGGAAAAAAGUGUUAGCUGGGAUGUUAUCCAAUAAGCGACAUUUGGCAGGUGGGAAAUUGCGACCUUAACCUUCUCAAACAUAGAUCCCAUCAUCAUCAACUUGAAGUGUGGCAAAAGCAUUCCCUGGUUAAGCAGACCAUUCUGGAUGGACACAAAGGUCAUUGAGUGAAGCAGUUACCGACUCCCCUGAUGCUGUUAUGGACUCCCUCCAUAAAUCCUUUCUUCUGCAAACGAAAUUACGAACUUAACAUACCCUGCAUCUUAUGUGUGAUGGAGGGUAUACCAUACAUAAUAUGGAGGGAAUAUUAAGUUCGUCAUUCCGUUUGUAACUCAUCGAAAUAAUAAUUUUAGACCCAACAAAGUACAGAUAUUCUUGAUCAGCGUAAAAUCAGCGUAAGACUAGGAACUAAGAUUUAGUCCCGUCUGUUGUAAUCACGCCAGAGCCAAAACGAAUAAUAAAGAUAGAAAUCUAAAAUUUU
This is a long non-coding RNA of Musca domestica (house fly), 646 nucleotides long. RefSeq lists it as uncharacterized. The record is from RefSeq and is a predicted model, not a curated record. The transcript is spliced from 2 exons. Lineage: Eukaryota; Metazoa; Arthropoda; Insecta; Diptera; Muscidae.